This 495-nucleotide ribosomal RNA is filed under the name uncultured bacterium. Its description in RNAcentral is "partial 16S ribosomal RNA". It matches the Rfam family "Bacterial small subunit ribosomal RNA", at positions 28 to 507 of the family's 1533-position model. The record is from RNAcentral.
GACGAACGCUGGCGGCGUGCCUAAUACAUGCAAGUAGAACGCUGAAGGAGGAGCUUGCUCUUCUGGAUGAGUUGCGAACGGGUGAGUAACGCGUAGGUAACCUGCCUGGUAGCGGGGGAUAACUAUUGGAAACGAUAGCUAAUACCGCAUAACAGUAGAUGUUGCAUGACAUUUACUUAAAAGGUGCAAUUGCAUCACUACCAGAUGGACCUGCGUUGUAUUAGCUAGUUGGUGGGGUAACGGCUCACCAAGGCGACGAUACAUAGCCGACCUGAGAGGGUGAUCGGCCACACUGGGACUGAGACACGGCCCAGACUCCUACGGGAGGCAGCAGUAGGGAAUCUUCGGCAAUGGACGGAAGUCUGACCGAGCAACGCCGCGGGAGUGAAGAAGGGUUUCGGAUCGUAAAGCUCGGUUGUAAGAGAAGAACGAGUGUGAGAGUGGAAAGUUCACACUGUGACGGUAUCUUACCAGAAAGGGACGGCUAACUACGUG